AAGCGUUGUUCGGAUUUAUUGGGCGUAAAGCGCGUGUAGGCGGCUUCUUAAGUCUGAUGUGAAAGCCCUGGGCUCAACCCGGGAAGUGCAUUGGAAACUGGCAGACUUGAAUACGGGAGAGGGUAGUGGAAUUCCUAGUGUAGGGGUGAAAUCCGUAGAUAUUCGGAGGAACACCGGUGGCGAAGGCGGCUAUCUGGACCGAUACUGACGCUGAGACGCGAAAGCGUGGGGAGCAAACAGGAUUAGAUACCCUGGUAGUCCACGCCGUAAACGAUGGGUACUAGGUGUUGCGGGUAUUGACCCCGCAGUGCC
RNAcentral lists this ribosomal RNA (312 nucleotides) under uncultured delta proteobacterium. Its description in RNAcentral is "bacterial SSU rRNA". It matches the Rfam family "Bacterial small subunit ribosomal RNA", at positions 536 to 847 of the family's 1533-position model. Lineage: Bacteria; Deltaproteobacteria. The record is from RNAcentral.